ACGCAUCUGUGCAUGCAGCAUAUCAAUAAGCGGAGGAAAAGGAGUAUACCUACGCUUAGGAUGUUGAAGAUGUAGCACAUCAUACGCGCAUGACACACCGCAUAUCAAUAAGCGGAGGAAAAGAGGGCUAUUACCUACGCUUAGGAUGUUGAAGAUGUAGCACAUCAUACACGCAUGACACACUGCAUAUCGAUAAGCGGAGGAAAAGGAGUAUACCUACGCUUAGGAUGUUGAGAUGUAGCACAUCAUGCACGCAUGACACACUGCAUAUCAAUAAGCGGAGGAAAAGAAACUAACAAGGAUUCCCCUAGUAACGGCGAGUGAAGCGGGAAGAGCUCAAAUUUGAAAUCUUAAAGGGUUUCCCUUUACGAAUUGUAGUUUAAAGAAGUGUUUUCUGUUGAGGUUUUGGUAAAAGUUCUUUGGAAUAGGACAUCAUAGAGGGUGAGAAUCCCGUAUUUGACCUUUACUUUCAACUUUGUGAUACACUUUCAAAGAGUCGGAUUGUUUGGGAAUGCAGUCCAAAAUGGGUGGUAAAUUUCAUCUAAAGCUAAAUAUUGGCGAGAGACCGAUAGCGAACAAGUACCGUGAGGGAAAGAUGAAAAGAACUUUGAAAAGAGAGUUAAACAGUACGUGAAAUUGUCAAAAGGGAAGCGUUUGACACCAGUGUUGUUUUUCUGAAAAUCAAUUAAAGGAACUGUUUAUGCUAAGUUGUUUAGACUUUAUCAGCUAAUCUGCUUAGUUUUGAGCUUUUCUUUAAUGCACUUUUCAGUUAACAAGUCAACAUCAAUUUCUUUUGCUGUAAAAAAGCUUGAGGAAGGUGGCUUGAGAUUCGUCUUAAGUGUUUAUAGCCUCUUGCCUAUGCAGUCGGAGAGAUUGAGGUCUGCAGCGUAGAUCCUUCGGGGCUAAAUGCAUUUGUGCUAAGUUAUAGCAUUUUAUAGACAACUUGUUGACUAUGAUUUGUCUUGUAGCUUACUCGCUUAUGCUAUUUUACCUACGCUUAGGAUGUUGAAGAUGUAGCACAUCAUACACGCAUGACACACUGCAUAUCAAUAAGCGGAGGAAAAGUCAACUACCUACGCUUAGGAUGUUGAGCGCAUGUCUCUCUCU
RNAcentral lists this ribosomal RNA (1107 nucleotides) under uncultured Neocallimastigales. RNAcentral's name for it is "partial large subunit ribosomal RNA". The stretch from base 236 to 1107 matches the Rfam family "Eukaryotic large subunit ribosomal RNA", at positions 1 to 616 of the family's 3401-position model. The record is from RNAcentral. Lineage: Eukaryota; Fungi; Neocallimastigomycota; Neocallimastigomycetes; Neocallimastigales.